AGACUGAGCUACAGUGGUUUGAGGUCAGUGCUCCAACCCUGUGUGCUGACCAUUGGCCUGACUGAACCCUGGUCUCUCAGCUCCCUCGGGUUCCCUGGCACAGCUCUGAGAUGCCGUGAAGGGAAGCAGUCACAUGGAAGCCAGGCCGCAUGGCGUCACACCCAGGAACCAACCGGGAGUUUUCUGGUGAUGGACACCUUCUCCCACCGUUGCCUAUCUGGCUUUUCGUCGCCUGCAUGUCUUCUGGACCAGCCUUGCCCUCGAGAUCCAGCUGCUCAGCCUCCCUAGCUGGUUUCAUCUCACAGUAACAGGAGCUGGUUCUUGCUGGAAGGGUCCCAGGAGGAGGAGGCGGAGCGAGCAGGACAUCACCGCGCCUUCCCUUCACCUUGUGGCUCUCCUCCUAGACACUGAGAGGACUUGCCCUUCCUUCGCUCUCCAGCCAUUUUCAGUCCUGCUCCACUAAAUCGCUGAGAUGCAGCAUCCCACGUGGUAACUAUGAUAUCAUGUGCUAUUUUGAAUUGUUAAAGAAUGUUGCAGAUAAUGAGAAAUAGCAGUUGAGCAGCUGUAAGACACAGGCCCUGUGGAUAGUUUAAAGUACUAGAGAAGGUCUUUUGCACUUAACCAAUUCUACAAACCAGGCAUUUUUAGCUUGGGAUCCAUGAGUGCUAAGGGCUGAUAGGACUGAUGACCUUUGUGAAAUUAAGCACAUAAUUUUCUGGGAAUGUGCAGGUGUUCAUUGUUUAAGGGAGUGGAUCCCAGGUCUCAUGAAAUUCUUGGAGAUACGGAGUCACCAAGAAAGUUAAGAACUGACAGGCCAGGAAGUGUGUUAUUGUACCUUUAUCCAGAGAAACCCUUCCGGAGGUUGGGUUAGGGCAUAAGAAGAAUAUUCUUCCUGAGAAAAUGCAGCACUCGCUAUAGGACUGCCCAGGAGCUAAUACUGAGCCCUAAGGAGCUGGCAGGAGAAUCCGCUGAUUUUCUUCCACUUUACAGGUGAGUGGAGUGAGGGCUGGGGCCUCACAUGCCAAUGUCAUACAAGCCC
RNAcentral lists this long non-coding RNA (1039 nucleotides) under Fukomys damarensis (Damara mole-rat). Its description in RNAcentral is "lncRNA (ENSFDAG00000030354.1)". Lineage: Eukaryota; Metazoa; Chordata; Mammalia; Rodentia; Bathyergidae. The record is from RNAcentral.